GAGAGAGAGAGAGGUGCAGCAGAAGGAGGCGUCAGACCUGGAAGGAGCUAAUCCACAGAACAACCAGGAGGAAUGUCCAGUGAUGUCAGAUUUUUCCUCUACAACAGAAGACAGGAGAACCAAAAUACCAGAACAUCCAAAAGAGAUCCCAAUGAGAAUAGAUCUCCACGCACUGCAGAUUAGGCUGUGAUGUAAACAAUCAUCGACCACUGAAACUGAAACCAACAUUUGUUUAUGAGUUACUGUGGCAGACUCUUGCAUAAUUCAAUGGCUCAAGUGUUCCUAUUCUGUAAUACUUUUUAAGAGAGAGCUUCUGAUGGGCCACUCCUGAUCCUAUAUCCUCUCUGCAGCAACAAACUGGCUUGUUACAUAAAAAUAAAUGAUUUGUCAUUAGGAGACAAGAUGAAAAUCUAACUCUAAUGCUGUGAGUGAA
This is a long non-coding RNA of Dermochelys coriacea (leatherback sea turtle), 433 nucleotides long. RefSeq lists it as uncharacterized. NCBI's taxonomy places the organism in Eukaryota, Metazoa, Chordata, Testudines, Dermochelyidae. The record is from RefSeq and is a predicted model, not a curated record. The transcript has 2 exons.